This 1217-nucleotide ribosomal RNA is filed under the name uncultured fungus. RNAcentral describes it as "eukaryotic LSU rRNA". The stretch from base 584 to 1217 matches the Rfam family "Eukaryotic large subunit ribosomal RNA", at positions 1 to 649 of the family's 3401-position model. Lineage: Eukaryota; Fungi. The record is from RNAcentral.
AAGUCGUAACAAGGUUCCCGUAGGUGAACCUGCGGAAGGAUCAUUAAGUGCUAGGCGGUUCAGCCCGUCUGGGUUCUCCCACGAUGCAAGUCGUGUGCCGCGGACGAUUUAAUCCCUGAGAUUACUUCUCCGACGUGAGUUCCUUCAGCCAACCCUUUGUUAAUUCUACCUUUGUUGCUUUGGCAGGACGCUUUUUAAGCUCGCGGCUUCGGCUGCGACGUGCCUGCCAGAGGACCCAACCCUUGAUUUUAGUGAUGUCUGAGUACUAUAUAAUAGUUAAAACUUUCAACAACGGAUCUCUUGGUUCUGGCAUCGAUGAAGAACGCAGCGAAAUGCGAUAAGUAAUGUGAAUUGCAGAAUUCAGUGAAUCAUCGAAUCUUUGAACGCACAUUGCGCCCGGUGGUAUUCCGCCGGGCAUGCCUGUUCGAGCGUCAUUAGUCCAAAUCACGUCUAACGUGGUCUUGGGGCCUGCCUCUGGGCAGCCCUUAAACGCAGUGGCGGCGCCGUCUGGCUCUAAGCGUAGUAAUUCUUCUCGCUAUAGGGUCCUGCGGAUGCUUGCCAGCAACCCCCAAUACACUAGGUUUGACCUCGGAUCAGGUAGGGAUACCCGCUGAACUUAGGCAUAUCAAUAAGCGGAGGAAAAGAAACCAACAGGGAUUACCUCAGUAACGGCGAGUGAAGCGGUAACAGCUCAAAUUUGAAAUCUGGCUCUUUUAGGGUCCGAGUUGUAAUUUGUAGAAGAUGCUUUGGGUGUGGCCCUGGUCUAAGUUCCUUGGAACAGGACGUCAUAGAGGGUGAGAAUCCCGUAUGUGACUGGGUGUCCACGCCCGUGUAAAGCUCUUUCGACGAGUCGAGUUGUUUGGGAAUGCAGCUCAAAAUGGGUGGUAAAUUUCAUCUAAAGCUAAAUAUUGGCCAGAGACCGAUAGCGCACAAGUAGAGUGAUCGAAAGAUGAAAAGCACUUUGGAAAGAGAGUUAAACAGUACGUGAAAUUGUUGAAAGGGAAGCGCUUGCAAUCAGACUUGCGGGCCGUUGAUCAUCCAGGGUUCUCCCUGGUGCACUCUGCGGCGCUCAGGCCAGCAUCGGUUCGGGUGGUGGGAUAAAGGCUUAGGGAAUGUAGCUCCUCUCGGGGAGUGUUAUAGCCCUAGGUGUAAUGCCACCUACCUGGACCGAGGACCGCGCUUCGGCUAGGAUGCUGGCGUAAUGGUUGUAAGCGACC